GGUAAAACGAGUGAACGACCCUGUGACAAGGGCUGCGUGCACCCGCAGGGGCGCACGGGACCCUCGCCAGCGGUGGGCACUGUACUAGACCCAAAGAUACGAAGAUACUGGAGCCAGGGUCCCAGUCCCCAGGUAGUGGCUCUCCACUCAGGCCCCAGCUGUGCAUCACAAUAACGACCCUUUAGCGAGCACCUGCUAUGGCGUCAGGCCUUACUCCAAAUGCCCCAAUGGGAUUAACUUGCCAAGUUUUCUCAACAACCCCAUAGGGUAAGUGCUACUGUGAUUUCCAUUUUACACAUGGAGAAACUGAGGCAUAGAGAGGCAGAAUGGCUUGCCGAAGCCACACUUGUGUUGGGGACCCAGGCGACUUGGCACCCAGACGCCCACUUCCUCCUCUCUGAGCCCCCCUCCCACUCCUCCGAAGCGCACCGGGGAGAGGCAUCCUUGCCUUUGCCGGCUGUUCGCGCUCUGCGCCCUGCUUUCUCACCCUCCCCAGCCUUGGCCGCUGCUCGGUGACCGCCGCCUGCUUUCUCCCCAGCAGCCGCGCCGCGGAUCGUCAAUAUCUCAGUGGUGCCCGGCCCGGCGCACGCCUUCCGCGCCCUCUGCACAGCCGAAGGGGAGCCUCCGCCCGCCCUCACCUGGUCCAGCGCGGCCUUGGGCAAUAUCUCGGCCGCCUUGCAGGGCCAGGUCACGGCUACCAGGUGACCGCCGAGCUGCCCGCGCUAAGCCGCGACGGGCGCUACACGUGCACGGCCGCCAACAACCUGGGCCGCGCGGAGGCCAGCGUGUACUUGUUCCGCUUCCACGGUACCAGCGGGGCCUCGGCGAUCGCGCUCCUGCUGGGCGCGCUGGGCCCCAAGGCGCUCCUGCUGCUCGGCGCUCUGGCUGCGGGUGCUGCCCGCCGCCGCCUGGAGCUCCCGGUCACCCAGGACACCCAUCCAUGGCCCCAUGCUCAGGAAUCCAGUUAUGAAAAUUUGGGCCAGAUGAACUCCAGGAGCCCACAGUCUGCUGCAUGUUCCCCCCUGAGGAGCUCCUCAGCCACCAGCAUCCACUUGUGUACCUGAGAAGCGAAGGCCAGGGUGAGGCUUGGCUGCUACAGCCUUUCCUGGUUCCCAGGCACCUUGGCAACCCCCAGCUGGGUCAUCAGCGGUCAGGAACCAGCUCAACAGAGUUUCUUCUGGCCUCCUCCUUGGACUUCUCACAGCCUCCAUGAUACUCAUGCUAGUGGGACCAGCAAUCUGAGUGUGUGUGUGUGUGUGUGUGUGUGCGUGCGCGCGUGGGCGCGUACCUCUAUUGGUCAGCUCUAUUACUGGGACAAAACACCCAACACCCACAACUGAGAGGAGGAGAGGUUUACUCGGCUCACAGUUUCCCAAGUUUCAGUCCAGAGGCAGCUGGCUUCAAGGGGAGAAACAUGGCAGAAGUGUGUGGUGGAGCAAAGCUGCUCACUUCAAGUAGAGUGGGGAAGAGCACCGGUGAGAGAUAUACCCUCCAAAGGCACCCCCCAGCAACUUGCCUUCAACUGGGCCCCAUCUCCUAACAGCACAUUCAGCUGAGAACAUCAAUAGGAGUCAGAUGAAUACAGUAUGCCCAUGAUCCAGUCACCUUUUCUGGAGUCUCAUAAUCCAACCAAGUUGACAACCUCAGCAGUCACAGUGCCCUUGUAUGCCUCCAUGUGAAACUCCUGGACAGCUUCCUCCAUCUUUUUCCCUCAGAACACUGUUGGAAAGCAAACCGGAAACUGAUCAUAGGGCCUGGAGGCCCAUCAGGCUCCAAACUGCUCUACCAGGUUUCUAUGUGGACUGGGAUAAUUUUUUCACCUCUUUGGGUCUCAGUUCAUCCACCAUUGAACAUGGACAGUAAUAUAAUCUUCUCCUUUCGCUGGUAGGUCUAUCAAGAUCCGAGGGAAUAAUAGAUGCGAUGAGGUUUUUGCAAUGUACAAGGCUGUCUCAGAUUUGGACCUUGUCAUACAGUUUUUGGAUAAGUUGGCAGUCACAUCAGGCUUGUGAGGAACAAAGUAUUCCAAAGAAGAUGCAGGCUGGGGGGGUGUGCAAACUGUGGUCUGAGGAGUAUCAAAUCCUGGAAACUUGGUAGCAGGGAGAGGCCUGGAGGCCCUGUUUCCUGCAAUAUUUACUGCAACUGUUCCACAUCUUCUGCCCACCUCUUACUGCCCCAGAUGCUCUACACCGUCUUGAGGUGGGACCCCCAGGAGAAGGGAGCCAAAGACCCAUUAUCUCAAAGCAUCUGGAAGCUACUGUCUCAAGGGCUGGAAGCCAGGAGACUUGAGGGGAGAUAUGGGACCCGUGAAUACAACAGCUAGAAUCUAUGGCCCACAUCCUCCCUGAUGUGUAGUCCAAAACCACUGGCACUCUUACCCCAUUUGCCCAAGUCCAGUGAGGCUAACUGUAUGGGGUACUGAACUCCCUUUUAGAUAGCAAUGUGAAUUUACUGGUCCUAUUAAGGGAGAAACAUGCUUGAGAACCAGGUGAACAGUGGACUAAAUUGGCCAUGAUGCCUUUCUGAGGAGAUGCUCUGAGGGUUGAGCGGUUCACUAGCCCCCCACACACACAGCCUUUGCCAGGGCAAGUGGGUGAUGGCAGCUCAUUACUGGGAUCCAGCCAGCAGCUUGCCUGAGCUGUUAAGAGUUCACAGAAGAUGACAUCUAUAGCCUCCUCACAAGGACAUUUGGGCACCUCCAGGGUGUCCUGUAUCACCAGGGAAGUAGUUGGGGAUACAAAAGUGUGUGUUAGAACAUCUGCUUGUUCUUUGAAGCCAGUUUCAUAACCCCCCCCAAAAAAAACUGUAAUGUGAAUUAUUGCUUAUGUAUCUGCUUCGUGCUAAGAACUGGACAAAGUAUUUGAGGCUACAAAAAUGAAGAAGUAACCUGUAUCAGCCAAGAUGGACUAGACUGUGCUUCCACAAACCCCAAAAGCAGCGGGUAAAAACAAUGAGUUUAUUUCUUGCCAAUGCUACAGGCCCAUUGCAGACUGGCAGAGAGAUUUUGCACCAUUGUUACUCAGAGACCCAGGUCCCAGAAUCCAUCAUCUUUUAUGGAUUGGGGGAAGAAUCCUCCAGAGGGAGCUGGGUGUGAAUCCCUGUUACUCAAGAGGCCAAGGCAGGAAGGAAGAUUCCAAGUUUGAGAACUUCCUGGAAAAUUGCCUGUCUCAAAAUAAAUAAUAGUAGAAAGGGCUGGUGGUGUAGCUCAGUGGUAGAGGGCCCUUGGGUUUGAUUCUCAGUAACAAACACCCACACCCACACUCAUACUCCUCCAGAGCCCCUCCCACAAGUGGUCUAGCUCAUUAGCCAGACCUAGCCAUGUGCCCUGCUCAGUCAGAAAAGACUGAGCAGGGCAACGCCACAUGGUAUUCAGAAAGGGAACACUAGGGACAUUUGGGAACAGUACUGGUGGCUCCACACUGGAGACCUUUCAGAAGCUCUCAAGUGAGUGAUAUGGUAAAUGGAAAAUCAUGUGUGGGUAGAGGUAUCUGGGGGUAACUUCCCGUCUUGGGGAGGCUUCCUGGAAGAAGAUUCAUGGAAAGUACAUGUCAGUUAUGUAAACAGAGAAGGCCAAGGGGAGAGUAGAGGUUGGGAGGUAAGAAAGGAAGGCAUUCUAAGCAAAGGGACAGACAGUCAGAUGCAGCAUAGCCAGAAGUUGCCAGAGCAGGAGGGUAGAGGUAGGGUGAGGCCAAAGCUGGAGCAGUAACAUACCCUAUGCUGGGUGCAGGGCGCUGCUGGCCUGCAUGUGCUACUUAGCAGUCUUCUUUCACACAUGCAACCACUGCCCUCUUCAGAGCCAGGAUGCUCUGGGCUGCGGCCAGGGCUCUUGGAGCAGUGUCUUGCAGUAAGUUCCAAGGGGCACCUGGUCAGGAACACUUGGGGAGCUUGUCCGAAUGCUCAUUCCGAGCACCACUUGGAUUCACUGAACCACAAGCUUGGAGAGGGAGGCUGGAAUUAUAAGCAAGUUCUUUAGGUGACUUUGCCUUCACUUUUACUGUGGUCAUUUUUAAACACACACUAAAAAAGAUGAAAAAGUAAGAUGAUUACCCAUGUGCCCAGCACUCUAUUCACCACUCAUUUCUCACUAUGUGCUGUGUGCGCGUGUGUGUGCGUGUGUGUGUGUAAAUCAUCUGUAAGCUCUGACACUGCAGUACUUCACUCUAAACACCUCCAAAGAACAAAAACGUUCUCCUCCAUACUAUCACCAUGCUUGGGAAAAUCAACAGUAAUUCAGCAAUACCACCUGCCUCAGUUACUUUUCUCAUUGCUGAGACAAAAUACCCAACACCCACAAGUUAAGGGAGGAAAGGUUUAUUCAGUUCACAGUUUGUAGAAGUUUCAGUCCAUGAUCAGCUGGCACCAAGGCAUGGUGGCAUGGCAGGGAGGCAUUGCAGAAGAGAAACAGUUCAUGGUGGGCAGAAGACAGAAGGCACCAAAUUACAAGCAACAACAGCUUCUUUGUGCCCCUUUUACAUUCUAACUAGGCUACUGGGCUUAGGGUUGGAAAAAUCAAUCAGUGGACUUAGUCAUCACAUACCCUUAAUCUUAGCAUCACACAUUCUAGUUCAGCCACCUGUGGAAAUGCCCCAUCUAGGAUUGCAUGAGACUUUGGGGAAACAUCUAGACACAAGCCAUAACACCACCUUACAGUCCACAUCCAAAUUUCUCCCAGUUGUCCUCCAAAUAUCCUCUUUAGCUUGUUGCUUCUAACCAGGAUCCUUUUGGAGUCUGGAUGGUUCUUGGGCAAGCAGAAAUUUGAGGCUCACUCCAUGACAGGCCUGACGUUUGUUUCAUGGUGCCUAAGUACAGGGGUACUGGCUAACGAUACGGCAGUCCUUCCUGCAGGAUUUGCUCUUAGCAGUUGGGCUACUUGGGAGCAGAAGCACCAUGCUCUCGAAGGCCUCUGAUGCAGCAGUUCAGGCAGUGAUGGGCUGUGGGAGUACGCUGAGGGACAGGUGUCCCUCCUUUAACAGUGUGCACCUUGUGCACAUGGAGCCUCCCGCUUGGCCUCCAGAUAAAGCAGCUGCUCCAAGGGGCAGGGGUGAGGGACGCUAAGGGGCAGCACUCAACCUGGGCUGUCCCUGUGAGAUAUCUGGGUGGAACACAGCCGCCUGCCCACCCCCAUCUGCCCUCUCGAAGCACUCAGAUUCUACUGCUGGCA
Molecule: long non-coding RNA, 5158 nt
Filed under: Heterocephalus glaber (naked mole-rat)
Lineage: Eukaryota; Metazoa; Chordata; Mammalia; Rodentia; Bathyergidae
Description: lncRNA (ENSHGLG00000045947.1)
Source: RNAcentral